This 600-nucleotide ribosomal RNA is filed under the name uncultured archaeon. RNAcentral's name for it is "bacterial SSU rRNA". It matches the Rfam family "Archaeal small subunit ribosomal RNA", at positions 317 to 917 of the family's 1478-position model. The record is from RNAcentral.
CAGGCCCUACGGGGUGCAGCAGGCGCGAAAACUUUACAAUGCUGGCAACAGCGAUAAGGGAACCUCGAGUGCCAGGUUACAAAUCUGGCUGUCGAGAUGCCUAAAAAGCAUUUCAUAGCAAGGGCCGGGCAAGACCGGUGCCAGCCGCCGCGGUAACACCGGCGGCUCGAGUGGUAACCGUUAUUAUUGGGUCUAAAGGGUCUGUAGCCGGCCGGAUAAGUCUCUUGAGAAAUCUGGCAGCUUAACUGUCAGGCUGCUAGGGGAUACUGUUUGGCUUGGGACCGGGAGAGGUGAGAGGUACCUUGGGGAUAGGGGUGAAAUCUUGUGAUCCUCGAGGGACCACCAGUGGCGAAGGCGUCUCACCAGAACGGGUCCGACGGUAGGGGACGAAAGCUAGGGGCACGAACCGGAUUAGAUACCCGGGUAGUCCUAGCCGUAAACGAUGCUCGCUAGGUGUCAGUCACGGUGCGACCGUGAUUGGUGCCGUAGGGAAGCCGUGAAGCGAGCCACCUGGGAAGUAUGGCCGCAAGGCUGAAACUUAAAGGAAUUGGCGGGGGAGCACUACAACGGGUGGAGCCUGCGGUUUAAUUGGAUUCAACG